GGAACUGUUUUGAAGAUUUCUUCGGAAUGAAUUUGAUUUAGUUCAGUGGCGGACGGGUGAGUAACGCGUGAGUAACCUGCCUUCAAGAGGGGGAUAACAUUCUGAAAAGAAUGCUAAUACCGCAUGAUAUAUCGGAACCACAUGGUUUUGAUAUCAAAGAUUUUAUCGCUUGAAGAUGGACUCGCGUCCGAUUAGUUAGUUGGUGAGGUAACGGCUCACCAAGACCGCGAUCGGUAGCCGGACUGAGAGGUUGAACGGCCACAUUGGGACUGAGACACGGCCCAGACUCCUACGGGAGGCAGCAGUGGGGGAUAUUGCGUAAUGGGGGCAACCCUGACGCAGCAACGCCGCGUGAAGGAUGAAGGUUUUCGGAUUGUAAACUUCUUUUAUUAAGGACGAAAAUUGACGGUACUUAAUGAAUAAGCUCCGGCUAACUACGUGCCAGCAGCCGCGGUAAUACGUAGGGAGCAAGCGUUGUCCGGAUUUACUGGGUGUAAAGGGUGCGUAGGCGGCUUUGCAAGUCAGAUGUGAAAUCUAUGGGCUCAACCCAUAAACUGCAUUUGAAACUGUAGAGCUUGAGUGAAGUAGAGGCAGGCGGAAUUCCCCGUGUAGCGGUGAAAUGCGUAGAGAUGGGGAGGAACACCAGUGGCGAAGGCGGCCUGCUGGGCUUUAACUGACGCUGAGGCACGAAAGCGUGGGUAGCAAACAGGAUUAGAUACCCUGGUAGUCCACGCUGUAAACGAUGAUUACUAGGUGUGGGGGGUCUGACCCCUUCCGUG
This 779-nucleotide ribosomal RNA is filed under the name uncultured bacterium. Its description in RNAcentral is "bacterial SSU rRNA". It matches the Rfam family "Bacterial small subunit ribosomal RNA", at positions 64 to 845 of the family's 1533-position model. The record is from RNAcentral.